RNAcentral lists this ribosomal RNA (497 nucleotides) under uncultured bacterium. Its description in RNAcentral is "partial 16S ribosomal RNA". It matches the Rfam family "Bacterial small subunit ribosomal RNA", at positions 28 to 507 of the family's 1533-position model. The record is from RNAcentral.
GACGAACGCUGGCGGCGUGCCUAAUACAUGCAAGUAGAACGCUGAAGAGAGGAGCUUACUCUUCUUGGAUGAGUUGCGAACGGAUGAGUAACGCGUAGGUAACCUGCCUUGUAGCGGGGGAUAACUAUUGGAAACGAUAGCUAAUACCGCAUAACAAUGGAUGACACAUGUCAUUUAUUUGAAAGGGGCAAUUGCUCCACUACAAGAUGGACCUGCGUUGUAUUAGCUAGUAGGUGAGGUAAUGGCUCACCUAGGCGACGAUACAUAGCCGACCUGAGAGGGUGAUCGGCCACACUGGGACUGAGACACGGCCCAGACUCCUACGGGUGGCAGCAGUAGGGAAACGUCGGCAAUCGGGGCAACACAGACCGAGCAACGCCGCGUGAGUGAAGAAGGUUUUCGGGUCGUAGAGGUCUGUUGUAAGUCAAGAACGGGUGUGAGAGUGGAACGUUCACACUGUGACGGUAGCGGACCAGAAAGGGACGGCUAACUACGUG